RNAcentral lists this ribosomal RNA (305 nucleotides) under uncultured bacterium. Its description in RNAcentral is "bacterial SSU rRNA". It matches the Rfam family "Bacterial small subunit ribosomal RNA", at positions 335 to 639 of the family's 1533-position model. The record is from RNAcentral.
UACCUACGGGGGGCAGCAGUGAGGAAUAUUGGUCAAUGGGCGGAAGCCUGAACCAGCCAAGUCGCGUGAGGGAUUAAGGCCCUGCGGGUCGUAAACCUCUUUUGCCAGGGAACAAAGACUGGGACGCGUCCCCGGAUGAGUGUACCUGAAGAAAAAGCAUCGGCUAACUCCGUGCCAGCAGCCGCGGUAAUACGGAGGAUGCGAGCGUUAUCCGGAUUUAUUGGGUUUAAAGGGUGCGCAGGCGGUCUGUUAAGUCAGCGGUCAAAGCCCGGGGCUCAACCCCGGCCCGCCGUUGAAACUGGCAG